Molecule: long non-coding RNA, 468 nt
Organism: Aquila chrysaetos chrysaetos
Lineage: Eukaryota; Metazoa; Chordata; Aves; Accipitriformes; Accipitridae
Exons: 2
Source: RefSeq, a predicted model, not a curated record
CUGAAAGCACAGUAAGAGCAACAGAGAAAUCCCCAUAUAAGCUACUGAGAUUUACAUGAGCUGCUAUAAACUGAGAAUUGCAGCCUUACAGCCCAGAACAGAUUACUUUACAUGAUGAUGAUGAUGAUGAUAAUGACGACUAUCACACAGAUGUAUUUGGCAGUACAAAGAUCUGGCAGAUCCACUGUCAUAGCUUCUCCUACUAUUCCAGAGGAUUUCCCUGGCAUUCAUGUGCUGAUCGAAAAGUGUGCAUGAAAUUAAUGCACGUAUGGGAAUCCUAAGCAUGGAGGGGAUCUCACGAGGGCUUGCUCCUACCCUGUAAACCAGACUACGAAAGCUGCAGUGAUGAACAUAAUAUUGACCCGAUGUCUCUAGAGAUCUAGGUGUUCCUUACGCCUUUUAUCCCAAAACAUCCUGCUAUGUAAUAAAAAAAAAAAAAAAAAAAAAAAAAUCCGACAUGCGUUUGAA